UAGGGAAUCUUGCGCAAUGGCCUAACGGCUGACGCAGCGACGCCGCGUGUGGGAUGAAGCUCCUCGGAGUGUAAACCCCUGUUGCCCGGGCGAACAUCCCUUUUCGAGGGACUGACGGUACCGGGUGAGGAAGCACCGGCUAACUCCGUGCCAGCAGCCGCGGUAAUACGGAGGGUGCGAGCGUUGUCCGGAAUCAUUGGGCGUAAAGGGCGCGUAGGUGGCCCGGUCAGUCUUUGGUGAAAGCGCGGGCUCAACCCUGCGUCGGCCAGGGAUACUGCCGCGGCUCGAGCACUGUAGAGGCAGGCGGAAUUCCGGGUGUAGCGGUGGAAUGCGUAGAGAUCCGGAAGAACACCGGUGGCGAAGGCGGCCUGCUGGGCAGUUUGGCUGACACUGAGGCGCGACAGCGUGGGGAGCAAACA
Molecule: ribosomal RNA, 419 nt
Filed under: uncultured Gemmatimonas sp.
Lineage: Bacteria; Pseudomonadati; Gemmatimonadota; Gemmatimonadia; Gemmatimonadales; Gemmatimonadaceae
Description: bacterial SSU rRNA
Rfam family: Bacterial small subunit ribosomal RNA
Source: RNAcentral